RNAcentral lists this ribosomal RNA (495 nucleotides) under uncultured bacterium. Its description in RNAcentral is "partial 16S ribosomal RNA". It matches the Rfam family "Bacterial small subunit ribosomal RNA", at positions 28 to 507 of the family's 1533-position model. The record is from RNAcentral.
GACGAACGCUGGCGGCGUGCCUAAUACAUGCAAGUAGAACGCUGAAGGAGGAGCUUGCUUCUCUGGAUGAGUUGCGAACGGGUGAGUAACGCGUAGGUAACCUGCCUGGUAGCGGGGGAUAACUAUUGGAAACGAUAGCUAAUACCGCAUAAGAGUAGAUGUCGCAUGACAUUUGCUUAAAAGGUGCAAUUGCAUCACUACCAGAUGGACCUGCGUUGUAUUAGCUAGUUGGUGAGGUAACGGCUCACCAAGGCAACGAUACAUAGCCGACCUGAGAGGGUGGUCGGCCAGACUGGGACUGAGACACGGCCCAGACGCCUACGGGAGGCAGCAGUAGGGAAUCUUCGGCAAGGGACGGAAGUCUGACCGAGAAACGCCGCGUGAGGGAAGAAGGUUUUCGGAUCGUAAAGCUCUGUUGUAAGGGAAGAACGAGUGUGAGAGUGGAAAGUUCACACUGUGACGGUAACUUACCAGAAAGGGACGGCUAACUACGUG